UUACCUACGGGACGCAGCAGUGGGGAAUAUUGGGCAAUGGACGCAAGUCUGACCCAGCAACGCCGCGUGAAGGAAGAAGGCUUUCGGGUUGUAAACUUCUUUUAAGGGGGAAGAGCAGAAGACGGUACCCCUUGAAUAAGCCACGGCUAACUACGUGCCAGCAGCCGCGGUAAUACGUAGGUGGCAAGCGUUGUCUGGAUUUACUGGGUGUAAAGGGCGUGCAGCCGGAGAGACAAGUCAGAUGUGAAAUCCAAAGGC
RNAcentral lists this ribosomal RNA (258 nucleotides) under uncultured bacterium. Its description in RNAcentral is "partial 16S ribosomal RNA". It matches the Rfam family "Bacterial small subunit ribosomal RNA", at positions 335 to 608 of the family's 1533-position model. The record is from RNAcentral.